UACAGAGGUCCCAAGCGUUGUUCGGAUUCACUGGGCGUAAAGGGUGCGUAGGUGGUCAGGUAAGUCGGAUGUGAAAGCUCGGAGCUCAACUCCGAAAUGGCAUUGGAAACUACCUGGCUAGAGGAUUGGAGGGGGGACUGGAAUACUUGGUGUAGCAGUGAAAUGCGUAGAUAUCAAGUGGAACACCAGUGGCGAAGGCGGGUCUCUGGGCCGAUACUGACGCUGAGGAGCGAAAGCGUGGGGAGCAAACAGG
This 253-nucleotide ribosomal RNA is filed under the name uncultured bacterium. Its description in RNAcentral is "partial 16S ribosomal RNA". It matches the Rfam family "Bacterial small subunit ribosomal RNA", at positions 524 to 776 of the family's 1533-position model. The record is from RNAcentral.